Molecule: ribosomal RNA, 2856 nt
Filed under: Staphylococcus aureus
Lineage: Bacteria; Bacillati; Bacillota; Bacilli; Caryophanales; Staphylococcaceae
Description: bacterial LSU rRNA
Rfam family: Bacterial large subunit ribosomal RNA
Source: RNAcentral
AGAUUAAGUUAUUAAGGGCGCACGGUGGAUGCCUUGGCACUAGAAGCCGAUGAAGGACGUUACUAACGACGAUAUGCUUUGGGGAGCUGUAAGUAAGCUUUGAUCCAGAGAUUUCCGAAUGGGGAAACCCAGCAUGAGUUAUGUCAUGUUAUCGAUAUGUGAAUACAUAGCAUAUCAGAAGGCACACCCGGAGAACUGAAACAUCUUAGUACCCGGAGGAAGAGAAAGAAAAUUCGAUUCCCUUAGUAGCGGCGAGCGAAACGGGAAGAGCCCAAACCAACAAGCUUGCUUGUUGGGGUUGUAGGACACUCUAUACGGAGUUACAAAGGACGACAUUAGACGAAUCAUCUGGAAAGAUGAAUCAAAGAAGGUAAUAAUCCUGUAGUCGAAAAUGUUGUCUCUCUUGAGUGGAUCCUGAGUACGACGGAGCACGUGAAAUUCCGUCGGAAUCUGGGAGGACCAUCUCCUAAGGCUAAAUACUCUCUAGUGACCGAUAGUGAACCAGUACCGUGAGGGAAAGGUGAAAAGCACCCCGGAAGGGGAGUGAAAUAGAACCUGAAACCGUGUGCUUACAAGUAGUCAGAGCCCGUUAAUGGGUGAUGGCGUGCCUUUUGUAGAAUGAACCGGCGAGUUACGAUUUGAUGCAAGGUUAAGCAGUAAAUGUGGAGCCGUAGCGAAAGCGAGUCUGAAUAGGGCGUUUAGUAUUUGGUCGUAGACCCGAAACCAGGUGAUCUACCCUUGGUCAGGUUGAAGUUCAGGUAACACUGAAUGGAGGACCGAACCGACUUACGUUGAAAAGUGAGCGGAUGAACUGAGGGUAGCGGAGAAAUUCCAAUCGAACCUGGAGAUAGCUGGUUCUCUCCGAAAUAGCUUUAGGGCUAGCCUCAAGUGAUGAUUAUUGGAGGUAGAGCACUGUUUGGACGAGGGGCCCCUCUCGGGUUACCGAAUUCAGACAAACUCCGAAUGCCAAUUAAUUUAACUUGGGAGUCAGAACAUGGGUGAUAAGGUCCGUGUUCGAAAGGGAAACAGCCCAGACCACCAGCUAAGGUCCCAAAAUAUAUGUUAAGUGGAAAAGGAUGUGGCGUUGCCCAGACAACUAGGAUGUUGGCUUAGAAGCAGCCAUCAUUUAAAGAGUGCGUAAUAGCUCACUAGUCGAGUGACACUGCGCCGAAAAUGUACCGGGGCUAAACAUAUUACCGAAGCUGUGGAUUGUCCUUUGGACAAUGGUAGGAGAGCGUUCUAAGNNGGGUGAGAAUCCCGUCCACCGAUUGACUAAGGUUUCCAGAGGAAGGCUCGUCCGCUCUGGGUUAGUCGGGUCCUAAGCUGAGGCCGACAGGCGUAGGCGAUGGAUAACAGGUUGAUAUUCCUGUACCACCUAUAAUCGUUUUAAUCGAUGGGGGGACGCAGUAGGAUAGGCGAAGCGUGCGAUUGGAUUGCACGUCUAAGCAGUAAGGCUGAGUAUUAGGCAAAUCCGGUACUCGUUAAGGCUGAGCUGUGAUGGGGAGAAGACAUUGUGUCUUCGAGUCGUUGAUUUCACACUGCCGAGAAAAGCCUCUAGAUAGAAAAUAGGUGCCCGUACCGCAAACCGACACAGGUAGUCAAGAUGAGAAUUCUAAGGUGAGCGAGCGAACUCUCGUUAAGGAACUCGGCAAAAUGACCCCGUAACUUCGGGAGAAGGGGUGCUCUUUAGGGUUAACGCCCAGAAGAGCCGCAGUGAAUAGGCCCAAGCGACUGUUUAUCAAAAACACAGGUCUCUGCUAAACCGUAAGGUGAUGUAUAGGGGCUGACGCCUGCCCGGUGCUGGAAGGUUAAGAGGAGUGGUUAGCUUCUGCGAAGCUACGAAUCGAAGCCCCAGUAAACGGCGGCCGUAACUAUAACGGUCCUAAGGUAGCGAAAUUCCUUGUCGGGUAAGUUCCGACCCGCACGAAAGGCGUAACGAUUUGGGCACUGUCUCAACGAGAGACUCGGUGAAAUCAUAGUACCUGUGAAGAUGCAGGUUACCCGCGACAGGACGGAAAGACCCCGUGGAGCUUUACUGUAGCCUGAUAUUGAAAUUCGGCACAGCUUGUACAGGAUAGGUAGGAGCCUUUGAAACGUGAGCGCUAGCUUACGUGGAGGCGCUGGUGGGAUACUACCCUAGCUGUGUUGGCUUUCUAACCCGCACCACUUAUCGUGGUGGGAGACAGUGUCAGGCGGGCAGUUUGACUGGGGCGGUCGCCUCCUAAAAGGUAACGGAGGCGCUCAAAGGUUCCCUCAGAAUGGUUGGAAAUCAUUCAUAGAGUGUAAAGGCAUAAGGGAGCUUGACUGCGAGACCUACAAGUCGAGCAGGGUCGAAAGACGGACUUAGUGAUCCGGUGGUUCCGCAUGGAAGGGCCAUCGCUCAACGGAUAAAAGCUACCCCGGGGAUAACAGGCUUAUCUCCCCCAAGAGUUCACAUCGACGGGGAGGUUUGGCACCUCGAUGUCGGCUCAUCGCAUCCUGGGGCUGUAGUCGGUCCCAAGGGUUGGGCUGUUCGCCCAUUAAAGCGGUACGCGAGCUGGGUUCAGAACGUCGUGAGACAGUUCGGUCCCUAUCCGUCGUGGGCGUAGGAAAUUUGAGAGGAGCUGUCCUUAGUACGAGAGGACCGGGAUGGACAUACCUCUGGUGUACCAGUUGUCGUGCCAACGGCAUAGCUGGGUAGCUAUGUGUGGACGGGAUAAGUGCUGAAAGCAUCUAAGCAUGAAGCCCCCCUCAAGAUGAGAUUUCCCAACUUCGGUUAUAAGAUCCCUCAAAGAUGAUGAGGUUAAUAGGUUCGAGGUGGAAGCAUGGUGACAUGUGGAGCUGACGAAUACUAAUCGAUCGAAGACUUAAUCAAAA